Molecule: ribosomal RNA, 440 nt
Filed under: uncultured bacterium
Lineage: Bacteria
Description: partial 16S ribosomal RNA
Rfam family: Bacterial small subunit ribosomal RNA
Source: RNAcentral
CCUACGGGAGGCAGCAGUGGGGAAUAUUGCACAAUGGGGGAAACCCUGAUGCAGCGACGCCGCGUGAGUGAAGAAGUAAUUCGUUAUGUAAAGCUCUAUCAGCAGGGAAGAAAAUGACGGUACCUGAGUAAGAAGCACCGGCUACCUACGUGCCAGCAGCCGCGGUAAUACGUAGGGAGCAAGCGUUAUCCGGAUUUACUGGGUGUAAAGGGGGCGUAGACGGCAGUGCAAGUCUGGCGUGAAAGGCGGGGGCUCAACCAUCGGACUGCUGUGGAAACUGUACGGCUGGAGUGCAGGAGAGGUAAGUGGAAUUCGUAGUGUAGCGGUGAAAUGCGUAGAUAUUAGGAGGAACACCAGUGGCGAAGGCGGCUUACUGGACUGCAACUGACGUUGAGGCUCGAAAGUGUGGGGAGCGAACAGGAUUAGAUACCCGUGUAGUC